UUGAACGCUGGCGGCAGGCCUAACACAUGCAAGUCGAACGGUAACAGAAAGAAGCUUGCUUCUUUGCUGACGAGUGGCGGACGGGUGAGUAAUGUCUGGGAAACUGCCUGAUGGAGGGGGAUAACUACUGGAAACGGUAGCUAAUACCGCAUAACGUCGCAAGACCAAAGAGGGGGACCUUCGGGCCUCUUGCCAUCGGAUGUGCCCAGAUGGGAUUAGCUUGUUGGUGGGGUAACGGCUCACCAAGGCGACGAUCCCUAGCUGGUCUGAGAGGAUGACCAGCCACACUGGAACUGAGACACGGUCCAGACUCCUACGGGAGGCAGCAGUGGGGAAUAUUGCACAAUGGGCGCAAGCCUGAUGCAGCCAUGCCGCGUGUAUGAAGAAGGCCUUCGGGUUGUAAAGUACUUUCAGCGGGGAGGAAGGGAGUAAAGUUAAUACCUUUGCUCAUUGACGUUACCCGCAGAAGAAGCACCGGCUAACUCCGUGCCAGCAGCCGCGGUAAUACGGAGGGUGCAAGCGUUAAUCGGAAUUACUGGGCGUAAAGCGCACGCAGGCGGUUUGUUAAGUCAGAUGUGAAAUCCCCGGGCUCAACCUGGGAACUGCAUCUGAUACUGGCAAGCUUGAGUCUCGUAGAGGGGGGUAGAAUUCCAGGUGUAGCGGUGAAAUGCGUAGAGAUCUGGAGGAAUACCGGUGGCGAAGGCGGCCCCCUGGACGAAGACUGACGCUCAGGUGCGAAAGCGUGGGGAGCAAACAGGAUCAGAUACCCUGGUAGUCCACGCCGUAAACGAUGUCGACUUGGAGGUUGUGCCCUUGAGGCGUGGCUUCCGGAGCUAACGCGUUAAGUCGACCGCCUGGGGAGUACGGCCGCAAGGUUAAAACUCAAAUGAAUUGACGGGGGCCCGCACAAGCGGUGGAGCAUGUGGUUUAAUUCGAUGCAACGCGAAGAACCUUACCUGGUCUUGACAUCCACAGAACUUUCCAGAGAUGGAUUGGUGCCUUCGGGAACUGUGAGACAGGUGCUGCAUGGCUGUCGUCAGCUCGUGUUGUGAAAUGUUGGGUUAAGUCCCGCAACGAGCGCAACCCUUAUCCUUUGUUGCCAGCGGUCCGGCCGGGAACUCAAAGGAGACUGCCAGUGAUAAACUGGAGGAAGGUGGGGAUGACGUCAAGUCAUCAUGGCCCUUACGACCAGGGCUACACACGUGCUACAAUGGCGCAUACAAAGAGAAGCGACCUCGCGAGAGCAAGCGGACCUCAUAAAGUGCGUCGUAGUCCGGAUUGGAGUCUGCAACUCGACUCCAUGAAGUCGGAAUCGCUAGUAAUCGUGGAUCAGAAUGCCACGGUGAAUACGUUCCCGGGUCUUGUACACACCGCCCGUCACACCAUGGGAGUGGGUUGCAAAAGAAGUAGGUAGCUUAACCUUCGGGAGGGCGCUUACCACUUUGUGAUUCAUGACUGGGG
RNAcentral lists this ribosomal RNA (1461 nucleotides) under uncultured organism. Its description in RNAcentral is "SSU rRNA". It matches the Rfam family "Bacterial small subunit ribosomal RNA". The record is from RNAcentral.